This is a long non-coding RNA of Apis florea (little honeybee), 1085 nucleotides long. RefSeq lists it as uncharacterized. NCBI's taxonomy places the organism in Eukaryota, Metazoa, Arthropoda, Insecta, Hymenoptera, Apidae. The record is from RefSeq and is a predicted model, not a curated record.
AUUAUUACUUAAUUUUAAUAUAUUAUUAUUUAAAAUUUAUUAUUUCUUUUAAGAUUCUUUUGAUAAUCCAUCAAUUAAAUUUUGUUUAUUUGAUAACAUUUAUUGCUCGAUUAACUGUCAUUUGGAACAGAAAUUUGAUACUCAGAUUUAUUUCUUUGUCAAUUGUUAGAAUUAAAUCACGCUCAUUCGUGAUUUAGAGAAAAAAAUCGGAUAUUUUAAUUUUUGAUUGGAAAAGUUAGAUUUGGAGAAUCAAGGAUUAAGGAAAUGGAAAUUGAUGAAGAAAAUAUAGAAGUUGUGGAAAUGGUAGGAUUAAAAAUAAAUCCUAGUUAAGUGUGUAUUAGAAAUGGUGAUAAAAGUUCAGACUACCUGUCAUGCAGGUAGGGACUGAUCGCACAAAUAUAUAUGAAGGAAAGAAACCUUAAAAUCCAAUUUAUGGAAUACAAAACUCGAAAAAAUAAGGAAAUUAAUUUCUGUGAUUCCGGAUUUAUUCUAAGUGACGAGAAUCAACAAUAAAAUUUAUAUGUUUUUCUAAUAAGCGAUACUAUUUAUAUACUAUUAUCGCAGUAAAAGAAAAAUUAAUAGAUAUAUUUUUUUUGUGAUAAUUAAAAUUAUCAUUUUAUGCAUUCCUAAUGCAAGUAUAAAACUAACGAAGUAUAUUUGAAUUAAUAUUACUUAAUGACACUAAUUUAAUUCAUCAUUUGAAUUGCAAAAGAAGUUCUUCAAAACACUUAUCAAUAAAUUUGAAUUGCAAAGAAAAAUUCUAUCAAAUAUUAACUCGAUAUAUUUGGAUUGCUGAAAGUAUUUUUCAGAAAUUAAAUUAAAUUAUUAAAAGAAAUUCCUCUGAAUAUAAAUUAAUCACUACAUUAAUAUAUAAAACUCUAUUACAUUAUCCAUAAUAUUAUCUUUCGCAAUUUCACAAAUUAUACUGAAUUCAUCAAAAAAAAAAAAGAAGAAAAUAUCUCCUCCAGAUAUUCAAUUACAAAUCCUUAAAAAGAAGAAAGAAGAAAAUACCUCAAGUCUUCAACAAUAUUGCAAUAUUUCAAAAAAAAACUUCACUCUUAAAUGAUUAUUCGCACUUCAUCAUA